Molecule: non-coding RNA, 171 nt
Filed under: Clostridiales bacterium
Lineage: Bacteria; Bacillati; Bacillota; Clostridia; Eubacteriales
Description: 6S RNA
Rfam family: 6S / SsrS RNA
About the family: E. coli 6S RNA was the first non coding RNA to be sequenced, but its function was unknown until recently. It consists of 184 nucleotides that fold into an extended hairpin structure with a large single-stranded internal bulge. The 6S RNA specifically associates with RNA polymerase holoenzyme containing the sigma70 specificity factor.
Source: RNAcentral
AAGAGCCUGAAAUGUUUGUCAGCUUGAUAACCUUAACCUACAGAUAGUAUACGGGAGUUUAUGUAUGCAUAUGGAAAUCGUGCCGAGCAAGGUGGAUAGAAUUAUGUGUCAGGACACCCACCUGCGUGAGUGCAGGUGUAAGGUUACAGCAGACGGCAUUUUGGGUUGUUU